RNAcentral lists this ribosomal RNA (428 nucleotides) under uncultured bacterium. RNAcentral's name for it is "bacterial SSU rRNA". It matches the Rfam family "Bacterial small subunit ribosomal RNA", at positions 355 to 775 of the family's 1533-position model. The record is from RNAcentral.
UGGGGAAUAAUGGGCAAUGGGGGAAAGCCUGAUGGAGCAACGCCGCGUGAAUGAUGAAGGCCUUCGGGUUGUAAAAUUCUGUUAUAAGGGAAGAACGACUUUAGUAGGAAAUGGCUAGAGUGUGACGGUACCUUAUGAGAAAGCCACGGCUAACUACGUGCCAGCAGCCGCGGUAAUACGUAGGUGGCGAGCGUGAUCCGGAAUUAUUGGGCGUAAAGAGCGCGCAGGUGGUUGAUUAAGUCUGGUGUGAAAGCCCACGGCUUAACCGUGGAGGGUCAUUGGAAACUGGUCGAAUUGCGUGCAGAAGAGGGAAGUGGCAUUCCAUGUGUAGCGGUGAAAUGCGUAGAGAUAUGGCUGUACACCUGUGGCGAAGGCGGCUUCCUGGUAUGUAACUGACACUGAGGCGCGAAAGCCUGGGGAGCAAACGG